CCUGAGGAGAAUUCACUGAUUCACUGAUGCGGCCAGUAAGUCAUCUGGGCCAAAGGUGGGUGGGGAGAUGAUAGGGGUGCAAGUGUCACCUUCAAUCACAGCAUAACUGCCCUUGCUUUCUUACCUCUCAUUUAGAUACUUCAGUGCUUGCUCAGGUCCCCUGUACCCUCCUUCAUUCUUCCUUCCCAGCCAUACUACUUAUGGGGAGACUUUCUCUUUAUAAAAUGACUGUUAGUCUUGUCAAAUUAAUCCCAAAGUAGUACCAUCAAUUUCCCCCUAAAAUACCAACAAGACUCCUGCUUGAAACUACUUGUCCAUUAGGGACAGAGAAGAGUUCAUGAGAAUCAGCAUUUUCUGAGGACUCUAGCUGUCUUCCGAGAGAGAGUUCUCCUGCUGGUGCCUCCUCUGUAAUAAAGCAAAGGCUCCUGGAACCACAUUAUCAUUCUCUUCACUCAAGAGAUGAGGAUGCUGAAAUUCAGAGAGGGGAAGUGAUUUGCCUCAGCUUGUGCUAAAGAAACAUUUCAACAGAGAACCCAGUGGAAAUUAUGACAUGUUAUCUUCUCAGAGUCCUGAACUCCCAUCCCUACCUCAGAAGAGACUCCACUGUUCACAGAAGCUAAAGGCAGUUCCUUCCCAGUGGCAACUAUGUUUGGAUGUUGGAUCUACACUUUUCUCAAGCACUGUGAUCUUCAAAUGGCACUGCAGUGAAGAUGGGCAUUUCUUGGGCCCCAUUUAGGGGAAUUUAUAUCCUGAAAUACAAAAGCAUUUCGUCACAAUGCAACCUUGCCCAUGAGCCUAUCCCGAAAUGUGAAUCCUGAGAAGAGUAAUUCAGAGAUG
Molecule: long non-coding RNA, 837 nt
Filed under: Piliocolobus tephrosceles (Ugandan red Colobus)
Lineage: Eukaryota; Metazoa; Chordata; Mammalia; Primates; Cercopithecidae
Description: lncRNA (ENSPTEG00000012874.1)
Source: RNAcentral